CGGUCCUCCUGUUUACUUCCUUGCUGAUUCCUGUUCCAUGUCAUUGCUUUAACCUUCGGAAGACUUGUUCACUGAAAGCCGGUCACUGUUUAUGGUCGUAAUGAGAAGAUCGUGUACGGAGGAAGCAUGGGAAACCUAUGUGAAAAUAUCCAGGCCAGCUGAGAGACAUAGUCCUUACUUCUGUAAGACUCACUGUUACACCCUGCCUGCCUGCCUUCUGUUUAGCCGGAGUUUGGAUUUAAAUAAAUCAUCGUUCUGCUCGCCAUGCCAUCUCCUCGCCUGCCUCUGCACUUUGGUCCACAAAAACCCUCGACUACGACAAUAACUCAGUGUAAAGUGUUUUAGUUACCUGAAAAUAAAUGCAAAGAAAAUAAAUACAUUAUGAUAAAUAAAAA
Long non-coding RNA from Girardinichthys multiradiatus, 395 nucleotides. RefSeq lists it as uncharacterized. NCBI's taxonomy places the organism in Eukaryota, Metazoa, Chordata, Actinopteri, Cyprinodontiformes, Goodeidae. The record is from RefSeq and is a predicted model, not a curated record. The transcript has 3 exons.